Molecule: unclassified non-coding RNA, 754 nt
Filed under: Hevea brasiliensis (rubber tree)
Lineage: Eukaryota; Viridiplantae; Streptophyta; Magnoliopsida; Malpighiales; Euphorbiaceae
Source: RNAcentral
UUUGUCUCACUGAAAUCUAUGUCUGUUCAUGGAGCAACUAAAGGAGCAAUCAACCAACUAACAAAAAAUUUGGCUUGUGAGUGGGCAAAAGACAACAUAAGAAGUAAUGCUGUUGCACCUUGGUACAUCAAAACCUCUAUGGUGGAACAAAUCCUCAGCAAUGAGGCAUAUUUAGAAGAGGUAUAUUCUAGAACUCCUCUUCGGCGCCUUGGGGAUGCAACAGAGGUUUCAUCUGUGGUGGCAUUCCUUUGUUUACCUGCAUCAUCUUACAUCACUGGCCAGAUUAUUUGUGUUGAUGGAGGAAUGUCUGUGAAUGGUUUCUUCCCAAGUCAUGGUUAGAAGUGAUUACUUUAUUGAUUACCACCCUUCCCAUGAGAAGAUGAGCUUUGUGAUUGGGUAAAUAUUAGCUUCUGAGUUCCUGUUGAGAACCCUCAGAGCCAAAGGAGAUCUUACCAGUGACCUGCUAUGGCAAUCCUUCUCAUUUUAAUAACUACUUGGCUAUAGUUUUUCCUUUGCCUUUACUGGGUCUUUCUCACUUGUAUCAGUUCCUCUAUCUCUUUCAUGUGAAGCCUGAUUUUACUUUCAUUCCAUGGGGGUUUCCUGUUGUAUGAUUGACAAAUUUGCAUUGUGAGCAAUGUUUCUAAUGAGGAAAGUAAGUUAAUUGGAAAAACUAUAGCCAAGUAGUUAUUAAANCAACAGGAACUCAGAAGCUAAUAUUUACCCAAUCACAAUGCUCAUCUUCUCAUGGGAAGGG